CCUACGGGAGGCAGCAGUGAGGAAUAUUGGUCAAUGGCCGGAAGGCUGAACCAGCCAAGCCGCGUGAAGGACGAAGGUGCCAAGCAUUGUAAACUUCUUUUGUCAAGGGACAAAAUCAGGCUCGAGAGCCUGACCGAGGGUACUUGAAGAAAAAGCAUCGGCUAACUCCGUGCCAGCAGCCGCGGUAAUCCGGGGGAUGCGAGCGUUAUCCGGAUUUAUUGGGUUUAAAGGGUGCGUAGGCGGGCUGUUAAGUCAGCGGUAAAAGCCCGGGGCUCAACCCCGGCGAGCCGUUGAAACUGGCUGUCUUGAGAUGUCGAGAGGUAGGCGGAAUGCGCAGUGUAGCGGUGAAAGGCUUAGAUAUUGCGAAGAACUCCGAUUGCGAAGGCAGCAUACCGGCGGCGAUCUGACGCUGAGGCACGAAAGCGUGGGUAUCGAACAGGAUUAGAUACCCCAGCAGUC
RNAcentral lists this ribosomal RNA (459 nucleotides) under uncultured bacterium. Its description in RNAcentral is "partial 16S ribosomal RNA". It matches the Rfam family "Bacterial small subunit ribosomal RNA", at positions 338 to 795 of the family's 1533-position model. The record is from RNAcentral.